GAAAACUGGCGGCAGCUUACCAUGCAAGUCCGACGGGGUUAAGGUGCUUGCACCUGAUACCUAGAGGCGAAUGGGUGAGUAAUGCUUAGGAAUCUGCCUAUUAAUGAGAGACAACAACUCGAAAGGGUUGCUAAUACCGCAUACGCCCUACGGGGGGAAGCAGGGGAUCUUCGGACCUUGCGUUAAUAGAUGAGCCUAAGUCGGAUUAGCUAGUUGGUGGGGUAAAGGCCUACCAAGGCGACGAUCUGUAGCGGGUCUGAGAGGAUGAUCCGCCACACUGGGACUGAGACACGGCCCAGACUCCUACCGGAGGCAACAGUGGGGAAUAUUGGACAAUGGGCGCAAGCCUGAUCCAGCCAUGCCGCGUGUGUGAAGAAGGUCGUAAGAUUGUAAAGCACUUUAAGCGAGGAGGAGGGUACUGAUGCUAAUAUCAUCAAGUGCUGGACGUUACUCGCAGAAUAAGCACCGGCUAACUCUGUGCCAGCAGCCGCGGUAAU
This 497-nucleotide ribosomal RNA is filed under the name uncultured bacterium. Its description in RNAcentral is "bacterial SSU rRNA". It matches the Rfam family "Bacterial small subunit ribosomal RNA", at positions 31 to 524 of the family's 1533-position model. The record is from RNAcentral.